AGUAAAAAUUAUUUUUGUAGGUAGUAGACUUAAUUUUUAACAUUUUUAUAUAUUAUGAAAGCAAUUCAAUGGUUAAAAAAGGAAAUAUUGGUACUAAGAGCUCUGCAUUAAGAUUGGAAAAAGAGGCUGUUCAAUACUUGAAUGCAUUGUCUUGCAUUUCUCUCAAUUAGUUAGUAUAAUUGAUUUUUUUUUUAUGCUUAUUUUUACCUAAGUUUUUGAAAAGUUUGUAAAUUUUGAGUUGGUAUUAAUGCUUCAAUCAUUAGUUGUUGAGAUUUCAAUGCAUUGUAGGAUUUAUUAAGAAUUUAAUUAGGAUUUAAGAUUUGAUUAGAGUUUGGUCUAGAGUUUGAUUAGGAUUCCAUCAGGGUUUGGUUUAGAAUUUGAUUAAGAUUUAAUUUAGAAUUUGGUUAAGAUUUGGUUAGAAUUUCAUUAGGGUUUGGUCUAGAAUUUGUUUAGUAUUGAUUUGGGAUUAAUUUAUGAUUUCUUUAU
This 486-nucleotide long non-coding RNA is filed under the name Physcomitrium patens. Its description in RNAcentral is "long non-coding RNA (PPAT_LNC008404)". The record is from RNAcentral. Lineage: Eukaryota; Viridiplantae; Streptophyta; Bryopsida; Funariales; Funariaceae.